Molecule: ribosomal RNA, 524 nt
Filed under: uncultured bacterium
Lineage: Bacteria
Description: bacterial SSU rRNA
Rfam family: Bacterial small subunit ribosomal RNA
Source: RNAcentral
GGUUCAGGACGAACGCUGGCGGCGUGCCUAAUACAUGCAAGUCGAACGGCUUUUCUAUGGAAGCUUGCUUCCACUGAGAAGAUAGUGGCGAACGGGUGAGUAACACGUGGGUAACCUGCCCAUAAGAGGGGGAUAACAUCCGGAAACGGGUGCUAAUACCGCAUAGUUUUCUUGAUCGCAUGAUCGGGAAAGGAAAGACGGCCUUUGUGCUGUCGCUUAUGGAUGGACCCGCGGCGUAUUAGUUAGUUGGUGAGGUAACGGCUCACCAAGACGAUGAUACGUAGCCGACCUGAGAGGGUGAUCGGCCACAUUGGGACUGAGACACGGCCCAAACUCCUACGGGAGGCAGCAGUAGGGAAUCUUCCGCAAUGGACGAAAGUCUGACGGAGCAACGCCGCGUGAGUGAAAGAAGGUUUUCGGAUCGUAAAACUCUGUUGUCAGAGAAGAACAAGUUGGAGAGUAACUGCUCCAGCCUUGACGGUAUCUGACCAGAAAGCCACGGCUAACUACGUGCCAGCCGCCGC